Non-coding RNA from Drosophila kikkawai, 1372 nucleotides. The record is from RefSeq and is a predicted model, not a curated record. NCBI's taxonomy places the organism in Eukaryota, Metazoa, Arthropoda, Insecta, Diptera, Drosophilidae.
AAUCCAUUGACUUAUAACUCAAAAGUUGUAGCUUUGUUUUACAAAUAAAAUUUAUUAAAGUGAAAUAAGCUAAAUUCAAGUGUCUUCCUUAGUCAAAUAUGGGCAGCUCAAAAGUGGUUAUAAUUCGAAGUACAGUUGCCAAACGACUUAAAAAAGGAUGUCAAGGAGUUAACAUAUCCCUCAUGGUGAAGGUGAUAAAGCCUGUAUAUGCAACCAAGCGACUUACAACGUGACUAUAUGAUGAAUUGUGAAGCAUGAUCGCAUAGCAAUAUCAACUAAACUUAUGGAGGGUUUUUCCUUAAUAAUGAACGAUUAAACAAAGGAUGAACCAAGAAGAUGACGGGCAGACAGAGAUUAAGCGAGAAAUUUAAUCAUCGCUCUCGUGUAGCAAUGCAAAUCAAGUUUUAAAGACCUAUUUGAAGGACAUGAGUGAUUCCGUUUUGAUCCCACUGUUGGAGCCUUGUUGGAGCGAGAAACGACGAACAACUUCAUUUAUUUUCAGUUCACAUUAAUGUAGCGUGAAUUAAGUGUCAAGGACAUUUUUUGGUUGUGCUGCCAACGACGCAACAUGUUUCAGUCUCUGGCUGUGAAGCAGGCACCUCCAUCUUCGGCCUCUGUGUCCAUGUCCUUGCACUCUGGCACUGCGGUGGGUGGUAUGUUUGUCAUGUGUCCUCGCAGCUGCGUGUGUGCCUGGGUGUGUUUCAGCCGUGGGUAACCGAAAAUGCAUUGCAACAUUCAAGUAAGUGACGUAAAUGCAUCACGGACCCAGCACAACACACUCACGCACGUUGGCUGGUCCGGCGGACGGACGGAGUAUAUCAUCGUCAUCAUCAUCAUCGGGAUGCGAGCGGACAUCCCCGCACAGAGCGCACAUACGCUCAGGCAGGCAUCAGAGGCAGUUAUGGCUGUCAAGAUGAAUGCCAUAUCAUUGCCGCACCGAAAAUGGUGUCAAAACGUCACCAACGGCGGUUCAGCCCUUCAGCAGUAAAACUGCAAACAGAAAACAGGACCUCCACCGUUGUUAUCCGGAUGAGUUAUGAGUUGUGCUCGGCCGGAGACAAAGGAGGAGCCCCUGGCCCCCAGCACCGGGCUUCACUGCAUUACAGUCAGCCUGCCACAUACAUAGGUCUAGGCUUGUGGGAAAUUCUUUGAAAUCCGACUUAUAUGUAUAUAUUACAGCGGGGAUGUACCGAAUUAGCACUGCAGAGACAUGGAGACAUCGCAAAGCAAUAGAGAACGAGAUCAACUUAUAGUGAAACUUGGAGUUACAUAGUUUUAAUGAUUUCGCUGUUUAGGGUGGUAAGUGUAAGUAUUUGAUUCAUUCACUCAUCGUAGGAGCCAAUCCACAAUUAAAUAUAAAAUCGGAUCAAGU